GACGUGGCGGAACGGCAGACGCGCUAGACUUAGGAUCUAGUGCCGCAAGGCGUAAGGGUUCAAGUCCCUUCGUCC
This 75-nucleotide transfer RNA is filed under the name Synechococcus sp. JA-2-3B'a(2-13). Its description in RNAcentral is "tRNA-Leu (TAG) (tRNA-Leu-TAG-2-1)". It matches the Rfam family "tRNA". Rfam says of the family: Transfer RNA (tRNA) molecules are approximately 80 nucleotides in length. Their secondary structure includes four short double-helical elements and three loops (D, anti-codon, and T loops). The record is from RNAcentral. Lineage: Bacteria; Bacillati; Cyanobacteriota; Cyanophyceae; Synechococcales; Synechococcaceae. RNAcentral also lists the same sequence under 26 other names.